AUACGGAGGAUCCGAGCGUUAUCCGGAUUUAUUGGGUUUAAAGGGUGCGCAGGCGGCCAUUUAAGUCAGCGGUUAAAUCGUGGGGCUCAACCCCAUUCUGCCGUUGAUACUGGGUGGCUUGAUUGCGGUCGAGGUUGGCGGAAUUCGUUGUGUAGCGGUGAAAUGCAUAGAUAUGACGAAGAACACCGAUUGCGUAGGCAGCUGACCAGACCGCAAAUGACGCUCAUGCACGAAAGUGCGGGGAUCGAACAGGAUUAGAUACCCUGGUAGUCCGCACAGUAAGCGAUGAAUACUUGUUUUCGGCGAUAUAAUGUCGGAGGCAAAGCGAAAGCGAUAAGUAUUCCACCUGGGGAGUACGCCGGCAACGGUGAAACUCAAAUGAAUUGACGGGG
This 392-nucleotide ribosomal RNA is filed under the name uncultured bacterium. RNAcentral's name for it is "partial 16S ribosomal RNA". It matches the Rfam family "Bacterial small subunit ribosomal RNA", at positions 523 to 918 of the family's 1533-position model. The record is from RNAcentral.